ACUGGGUGUAAUACAAGGAUAUGACCUUCCAUCGCAUGGUGGUUGGUGGAAAGCUUUUGUGGUUUUGGAUGGACUCGCGGCCUAUCAGCUUGUUAGUGAGGUAAUGGCUUACCACGGCGACGACGGGUAGCCCGCAUGAGAGGGUGACCGGCCACACUGGGACUGAGACACGGACCAGACUCGUAUGGUAGGCAGCAGUGGGGAAUAUUGCACAAUGGGCGCAAGCGUGAUGCAGCGACGCCGCGUGAGGGAAGACGGCCUUCGGGUUGUAAACCUCUUUCAGUAGGGAAGAAGCGAAAGUGACGGUACCUGCAGAAGAAGCGCCGGCUAAAUACGUGCCAGCAGCCGCGGUAAUAAGUAGGGCGCAAGCGUUAUCCGGAAUUAUUGGGGGUAAAGAGGUGGUAGGCGGUUUGUCGCGUUUGCCGUGAAAGUCCGGGGCUCAACUCCGGAUGUGCCGUGGGUACGGGCAGACUAGAGUGAUGUAGGGGAGACUGGAAUUCCUGGUGUAGCGGUGAAAUGCGCAGAUAUCAGGAGGAACACCGAUGGCGAAGGCAGGUCUYUGGGCAUUAACUGACGMUGAGGAGSGAAAGCAUGGGGAGSGAACAGGAUUAGAUACCCUGGUAGUCCAUGCCGUAAACGUUGGGCACUAGGUGUGGGGGACAUUCCACGUYYUCCGCGCCGUAKCUAACGCAUUAAGGAUGCCCCGCCUGGGGAGUACGGCCGCAAGGCUAAAACUCAAAGGAAUUGACGGGGGCCCGCACAAGCGGCGGAGCAUGCGGAUUAAUUCGAUGCAACGCGAAAAACCUUACCAAGGCUUGACAUGGACCGGACCGCCGCAGAAAUGUGGUUUCCCCUUUUGGGGCUGGUUUACGGGUGGUGCAUGGUUGUCCUCAGCUCGUGUCGUGAGAUGUUGGGUUAAGUCCCGCAACGAGCGCAACCCUCUCUCUAUGUUGCCAGCACGUGAUGGUGGGGACUCAUAAGAGACUGCCGGGGUCAACUCGAAGGAAGGUGGGAACGACGUCAAAUCAUCAUGCUCCUUAUGUCUUGGGCUUCACGCUUGCUACAAUGGCCGGUACAAAGGGUUGCGAUACUGUGAGGUGUAGCUAAUCCCAAAAAGCCGGUCUCAGUUCGGAUUGCUGUCUGCAACUCGACCCCAUGAAGUCGGAGUCGCUAGUAAUCACAGAUCAGCAACGCUGCAGUGAAUACGUGCCCGGGCUGACACAGAAAAACAAAACAA
This 1237-nucleotide ribosomal RNA is filed under the name Arthrobacter globiformis. RNAcentral describes it as "bacterial SSU rRNA". It matches the Rfam family "Bacterial small subunit ribosomal RNA", at positions 156 to 1533 of the family's 1533-position model. The record is from RNAcentral. Lineage: Bacteria; Bacillati; Actinomycetota; Actinomycetes; Micrococcales; Micrococcaceae.